Long non-coding RNA from Setaria italica (foxtail millet), 2811 nucleotides. RefSeq lists it as uncharacterized. Lineage: Eukaryota; Viridiplantae; Streptophyta; Magnoliopsida; Poales; Poaceae. The record is from RefSeq and is a predicted model, not a curated record. The transcript is spliced from 6 exons.
CGGCGACUCCCCCGCGGCGGGCGGCGGCGACUCCACGGUACCUAGGCCGCUCCCGUUUACAGCAAUUGGUUCAAUGGUGUGGCCACGAGUUUGACGGUCUCCUAGUGUUUGAUGAGUGCCACAAGGCCAAAAAUCUGAUUCCUGAUGCAGGGAGCCAGCCCACUCGCACGGGAAAAGCAGUUCUUGAGAUCCAGGUCUUUAAGACGUGUCAUACGGUUUUGCAACCCUUGCAACUGAGUUCAAUAGAAGCAUCAGUGGUUGAGGCUUGCCUAUAUGUGUGUCCGUCGCCUCAAGCAGGACAUUUGUAUGUUGUACCACUGCCCUAGAUUCCUGCAAGUUAGCAACGGCUACAAAUGAUGGUAGUCGAGCUCGGAACUGAAUGAAGGUAUGCCAAAUAAUAUGGUAACAGACUUACCCGUUGUUCUUGUAUUACAUCAUCGAACCGCUUGUUAAGUGCAUUGAACCUGUCAUCAAUUUGAUUUGAUAGUAACCUGUACUGAUUGGUAAUGAACUCUUGAAGUUCCUGCAUAAUUUUAUGAUUGCUAUCAUCUUGUCCCUUGUCCGAUUGUUCUGAUGUUGUGUGGCAUAGAGGGAUUGAGCAUGUGUUGUUAUGUUUAUGUCUUGUAAUGUCAUGGACAAUCUGACAUAGAAUAGAAAGAAGGAUUUUGUUAGUAGGUGCUGGGUUUUCUAAAAGUUACUGAUCUCUGAUAUACUUUUACCUUUCCUUCCCCAAAAUGAUGGUUGCGUGCUAGUUUGCAUCGUUCUUUGGCUCUCUUUUCGUCCCAAUAUUGCAUAAGUGGUUUGUCCCCUCCAGGAUGUUCUAAUCUAGGGUACAUAUGAGACAUAGACACCUUCUCCCAGUACCAGACCUGUAGUUAAAAAAAAUGUAGUUGUGUUUGCUGUGAAUAUAAACAUAGUGUCAUGAGGUUAUCUUCAACAUUUCGAAUGUACAUACCUGCAAUAGAACUAGAUUCCCUUUAAGGUUAGCUGCCUUUACCUCCUUGUAUUCCCGUAUGCUUCUGAUCAAGAAAUUAAGAACUAGGCUGCUCCAGUUCAGGUUCUUGAUAUUAUCAAUUUCUUCAACGAGCCCAAGAUAAUCUGAUUUGACGUAUGGCUGUAGUGUUGGGCACAAGUAGAAACCAAUGGUGUACAGCACAAAUAUGCGAAUAAAGUCAUCACCAUAGGUUUUGUUCUUGCUUAAAUAUUCCCUCAACUCCGAUGAAUGAAUUUUAGUAGAAUCAUUCCAUGUGUACUUGUCAAACAGACCAGGUACAUGUUUUUUUGGAGGCUCCUUUAUUUCAUCGCCUUGGGAUGGAAGGCCUAGUAUAUGAUCAACAUCUUUGAUGGAUAUUUUCACCUUCUUUUCUUGAAUGUUGAAUUCUUCUUUGUCUAAGUCGAAACUGUCCGCAAUCUCCUUGCAUAGCUCGCGUCGAAUCUCUAUGUCCUUAAGCUUAAGUAAAGAACCAAAUCCUGCUUUCUCAACAGCAUCCUUUUGUUCUUGGUCGAACAUGCUUAUAAUCUCUACUAGUAAUUUCUGCGAGCAUUUACAUGUACCCUGAAGGAAAAUAAUAAUUAGGGAUGUUUUUCUGCAGCUUAUGUGAAGUUCAGGUAUGUUUCUUGUAAUUGGUGUUGAUCUAUUUUUUUUGUUCGAUUAGGGGAUAUUAAGACAUAUGAGUUAAUAAUCUUACAAAGAUAAAAUCAAAAACUGGUACAGUUAGGAUCAGCUUUGCAGACAGUAACUUAGGCCAUCAUUUGCCAUAAUUAUUUUAAGAGACUGAAUGAAAGGUGCAUAUAAUGUAUUCUCUUAUUUAAAUGUGCAUGGUUACUGAGUUGCAGGCAAGUGGUGGUAUUCUGCCUGUAAACUGCUCUGUUGGUUAUUCCUGAAAUGUAACAGCCUUGUUGUUUCACAAACAAUGAAGGCUUAUGAUUGGAUGGUUGCGCUUGAAUGCAUCAAGUGUUUUAUGCUAGAAACUUUUGCUAUCGCUACACUGCAUUUGAUAAUUGCUGAUUGUGUUCUGUAAUAUUUUUAUGGCGCAACGGUGGAUCAAUGAGCAUGUUGACAUAUCCAGUGCUGAUGCUCUCAACGAACCUCUACUUGGCUCCAGCCAUGACAACAGUGGAUCAGAGGUUUAUGAUCCUAGAAGGCAGGACUUGUGGGAUGCUGAUAGAAAGAAGGAGCAACUGCACUGGUCAUUUCUUUUCUGAAAUCUGAUUGCACAAUGGGCACAAAGGUUGGAUGAGAUUGAACUUACUGGAUUGAAUGGGAGAGAUGUAAUUGGAUCAAUUAGCGCAGGUGGUGCAUGCUCCUUCUGUUGCGCUGGUGGUGUAUGGUCCUGCUCUUGUGUGUCACGAUUGAUGGGUGUCACCGAAGAAGUAGAUCCGUCCACAUCCAUGGUGGCUGAACUGCCGCUGCCUGCUGCCUUCCUGCCGUCCACAUCCAUGAAGCAAGAUUGUUUUUAUUAUCUAACGUGUAGAGUUUUAUUAGAUUAGGCCUCACGUGAAGAGUUUUAUUAAAUUAGGCCUCACGUGAAGAGUUUGUUUAAAUUAGGCCUCACGUGAAGAGUUUGUAAGCUAAUACACGUGAAGAGUUUGUAAGCUAAUACAUGUGAACUCAUGCGUGCCAGAUGGCAUAUGGUAGGUCGUUGAGUCGGCGUUUCUGAAUUUCUGGCCGGUUCUGAAUUUCUGGAAGAUGUGAACCAGUGCAAUCGGCAAGUCAUACAUAUGCCUUUAUAUAGUGCUUGCUUAGUUUGUAUCAGGUUUUCUGAACCAUUGUUGCCAAGUGAGUACGGAGAAGACGUGCACCUUGUCGUA